This 253-nucleotide ribosomal RNA is filed under the name uncultured bacterium. RNAcentral's name for it is "partial 16S ribosomal RNA". It matches the Rfam family "Bacterial small subunit ribosomal RNA", at positions 524 to 776 of the family's 1533-position model. The record is from RNAcentral.
UACGUAGGGUGCAAGCGUUGUCCGGAAUUAUUGGGCGUAAAGGGCUCGUAGGCGGUCCAUCGCGUCGGGAGUGAAAAGCUGGGGCUCAACCCCAGUCCUGCUUCCGAUACGGGUGGACUAGAGGUAUGCAGGGGAGAACGGAAUUCCUGGUGUAGCGGUGAAAUGCGCAGAUAUCAGGAGGAACACCGGUGGCGAAGGCGGUUCUCUGGGACGGUACUGACGCUGAGACGCGAAAGCGUGGGGAGCGAACAGG